Molecule: long non-coding RNA, 1395 nt
Organism: Nerophis lumbriciformis (worm pipefish)
Lineage: Eukaryota; Metazoa; Chordata; Actinopteri; Syngnathiformes; Syngnathidae
Source: RefSeq, a predicted model, not a curated record
AAGAACAAGCCCAGACACGUUUCUUCACGGAGCCCAAGGAAAACACUUUACCGAACUCAUAUGGGGUGGCCCUGUAAGUUGUGCAGCACUGUUGUACCAACCAAGAGUGACAUUUUAAAGCAUUCCAGACUGCAACAUGGGACCUUUGGACACAGCCAUUCCUUGCCUUGCAUUCAUAUUAAUGAAGCGUUCCGAAGGUGCACUGCUGUUCCACUGGAAUCAACAUUUAUGUCCCAACUGGACAGGUACACGCCAAAACUCCUGGAGCUCUUCAGUGCAAAAGAAGGAGUGACUGCAGCGCAUUAAGAACUUGUUGAUGGAACUGAUACAGGACCCAAGUGCCUCUGCAGUGAAGAAGAGAGAUGUGACUGUGAGAUGCCUCAUAGAGUACAUGGGAGAGAGUGGACAGGAGAUAAUCUCUGACUACUGGAACUGCAGAGACCACUGUUCAUGAGGACCUGGAAAUGAAGAAUAUGAGCAUCUACAUCUGUCGUGAGCCAAAUGCAGUAGGAAUCAUCAUUGAGGGAGUACCAGUCCUUACUCAUCUUGGAAACCUGGUCAAAGCAUGCUGCCUACUUCUGGGGUUGACGUAUGCACUUAAUCUUGAGUAUCCAUCCAAACUUUCCAAAACAUUUGAGGUGUUUCAAAGACUUUUUGUGGGACUUGACACACUGCGCCCAAAACCAACCCCCAAAUUCAUGACUCUCAAAAACAAGCUUCUAGCUUAGGCAGUGAGCCAUGACUGUCAGCUUGCACUUUUGAACAGCUAUUUUCUUGUGUCUGUUCAAAAUCAGUAUACAUUGUUCAUUGAGUGGAAUCCUUCAGAAUGUUGUAACAGUUUGUCCUGUUCAGGUUUUAUACAAAGCUCCAGGUCAUCGUUUCUGGUGUGUAAAUUAAGUUUUUGUAUGUUUUAUACACACUAAAUUGCCCCACUGUGAAGCUCCAGCUGGUCAGAAGGAGGGAUCUGUGAGUUGUUUAAGUUAAAAUGUUUCAAAAUAUACACACUGAAAGACACUACAGUGAAGGUGUUCUGCUUGUGAAUUGUUACAGAAGUACAGAUAAUCUUAAUGUUAAAUUGUUUUAGCAAGAAACUGUACUGUGAAUGUUCUAAGUAAAACUUUAGAUGCUGAGGUCAUGCAUUCUUUUAUGCACUAAAUACUGAUGUUCUUGACUGUUAAUACUGUCCAGCUUAUUGACAGGUUUGGAUAUGGCUUGUGAAAAUGUUUUAACAUGUAUACGGUUAAAAAAAGAAAACUACUGUGAAGGUGUUCUAUACAGCACUUUAAAAAGUUGAGGUCAUGCAUUCUUGUAUAAUAUGGAUGUUGACUGUUCAUACUGUCCAGCUCAUUGCCACUGUUUUUAUAUGGUAAUGAUUUAAUAAAGGUUGGAAUUUGA